Molecule: ribosomal RNA, 497 nt
Filed under: uncultured bacterium
Lineage: Bacteria
Description: partial 16S ribosomal RNA
Rfam family: Bacterial small subunit ribosomal RNA
Source: RNAcentral
GAUGAACGCUGGCGGCGUGCCUAAUACAUGCAAGUCGAGCGAACGGACGAGAAGCUUGCUUCUCUGAAGUUAGCGGCGGACGGGUGAGUAACACGUGGAUAACCUACCUAUAAGACUGGGAUAACUUCGGGAAACCGGAGCUAAUACCGGAUGAUAUUUUGAACCGCAUGGUUCAAAAGUGAAAGACGGUCUUGCUGGCACUUAUAGAUGGAUCCGCGCUGCAUUAGCUAGUUGGUAAGGUAACGGCUUACCAAGGCAACGAUGCAUAGCCGACCUGAGAGGGUGAUCGGCCACAGUGGAACUGAGACACGGUCAAGACUCCUACGGGAGGCCGCAGUAGGGAAUCUUACGCAAUGGGCGAAAGCCUGACGGAGCAACGCCGCGUGAGUGAUGAAGGUCUUCGGAUCGUAAAACUCUGUUAUUAGGGAAGAACAUAUGUGUAAGUAACUGUGCACAUCUUGACGGUACCUAAUCAGAAAGCCACGGCUAACUACGUG